Zonotrichia leucophrys gambelii is the source of this 1261-nucleotide long non-coding RNA. RefSeq lists it as uncharacterized. The transcript is spliced from 4 exons. The record is from RefSeq and is a predicted model, not a curated record. NCBI's taxonomy places the organism in Eukaryota, Metazoa, Chordata, Aves, Passeriformes, Passerellidae.
GGAAGAACUGUGCUGCAGGGAGGAACAGCUUCGUGGAAAACCAGUGAGAAGAUAGGACCCGUAGAAGUAAACUCAGUGAGGAAGGGAUAAAACACAAAAGACUGGAGAACCAAAAAAAUUUGGACCUAUGUGGCUUGUGACCCUAAGCUGACACAGCAUUUGUCUAUGGGAUUUGUAACCGAUGCCAUCUGAUGUCAGCCAUCUGUGACUUCCUGUAACAUGUGCUUUAAUGAAAUGAAAGGAGCCCAAAUAAAAGUAACAAAUCCCAUCUUACUCCUACUUGCACAGCAAGGAGCCAGUGAAAGCUCCCCAGCAAAUGUCAGGAGGUUACAGCUCCCUGACUCAGUGGGUUCAAGGUGCAGGAGACUGGGCCAAGGAAAAUCUCAUUUCCCAACUGUUGGUAGCAGCUGAUCCCACUCCCUCCUGCUUUUGCAGUUGGAAAGAACAACUGGUGCUGUGACACCAAAGGAGCUGAGCAGUGACAGAGGAUGGCUCUCCCCAUGUUGAACCAGUCUGUUCAAGCAUCUACAGGCAGAUGCCACACAAUUCCUUCCAGAAAAUGCAGAGAAAUCAGCAAUCCACAUUUCUGCAGGCUCUGGAGAAGACUGUUUCUGGAAUCACCUUGUCUUAUGGCACCAUGGAAUCUGCUACUGCUCCAAAGAGGAGGCAAACAGUAACAGCUCUGCUGUUCCAAAAGGAAGAAUGAAACAUCAGACCAAGUGUUUAACCUUCCACAGGGGUUAAAGGAGAAAUAGAAAUUCAAAAUCUGUAUUUACCAAAGACUAUAUUCUAAGAAGUCUUGAAUUCAGACUGAAAGCACAUUCACCUGGAUGAACUUCAUGUUACUGAAGCACCUUAAAAGCAUCAAGUUACCAAUAACAAGAACUGGACCACAUCCUUCAAGGUAUUUUUUAAUUUUAAAUUUGUAUUUUAAAAUGGAUGUUUCUGCACUAUUUACAACUACAUUUCUGGUUUUGCCAGUUCUUAUAAUUUCUCUUCCUGAAAAGGCCCUUGUUCAAAAAACCAAUCUGGCUUAUUCUCAUAUGGUGUUGUAUAUUUAUUAAGCAACUCUACAUUUUUGAUAGUUUUCAUUCUCAAAAUGAUGAGCAAAAUUUUGCAAGUGAGGAACAAGAAGUACUUUCCUCAAAACUCACAGUAUCUGCACUAAGAUAAUGCAAACCCCACCUCCUUUUGUUUUUGUUUCAGCAUUUCUUCUUCAAACUGUUUCUGCAGUUGUGCUUUUUCUCGUGCCAGGCGCAGC